GGGUUGUGAGGUUAAGCGACUAAGCGUACACGGUGGAUGCCCUGGCAGUCAGAGGCGAUGAAGGACGUGCUAAUCUGCGAAAAGCGCCGGCGAGGUGAUAUGAACCCUUGACCCGGCGAUGUCCGAAUGGGGAAACCCAGUGUGAUUCGUCACACUAUCGUUAACUGAAUACAUAGGUUAACGAGGCGAACCGGGGGAACUGAAACAUCUAAGUACCCCGAGGAAAAGAAAUCAACCGAGAUUCCCCCAGUAGCGGCGAGCGAACGGGGAGCAGCCCAGAGUCUGAAUCAGCUUGUGUGUUAGUGGAAGCGUCUGGAAAGUCGCACGGUACAGGGUGACAGUCCCGUACACGAAAAUGCACAGGUUGUGAACUCGAAGAGUAGGGCGGGACACGUGGUAUCCUGUCUGAAUAUGGGGGGACCAUCCUCCAAGGCUAAAUACUCCUGACUGACCGAUAGUGAACCAGUACCGUGAGGGAAAGGCGAAAAGAACCCCGGCGAGGGGAGUGAAAAAGAACCUGAAACCGUGUACGUACAAGCAGUGGGAGCACCUUCGGGUGUGACUGCGUACCUUUUGUAUAAUGGGUCAGCGACUUAUAUUCUGUAGCAAGGUUAACCGUAUAGGGGAGCCGAAGGGAAACCGAGUCUUAACUGGGCGUUAAGUUGCAGGGUAUAGACCCGAAACCCGGUGAUCUAGCCAUGGGCAGGUUGAAGGUUGGGUAACACUAACUGGAGGACCGAACCGACUAAUGUUGAAAAAUUAGCGGAUGACUUGUGGCUGGGGGUGAAAGGCCAAUCAAACCGGGAGAUAGCUGGUUCUCCCCGAAAGCUAUUUAGGUAGCGCCUCGUGAACUCAUCUUCGGGGGUAGAGCACUGUUUCGGCUAGGGGGCCAUCCCGGCUUACCAACCCGAUGCAAACUACGAAUACCGAAGAAUGUUAUCACGGGAGACACACGGCGGGUGCUAACGUCCGUCGUGAAGAGGGAAACAACCCAGACCGCCAGCUAAGGUCCCAAAGUCAUGGUUAAGUGGGAAACGAUGUGGGAAGGCCCAGACAGCCAGGAUGUUGGCUUAGAAGCAGCCAUCAUUUAAAGAAAGCGUAAUAGCUCACUGGUCGAGUCGGCCUGCGCGGAAGAUGUAACGGGGCUAAACCAUGCACCGAAGCUGCGGCAGCGACACU
Molecule: ribosomal RNA, 1179 nt
Filed under: Mesorhizobium sp.
Lineage: Bacteria; Pseudomonadati; Pseudomonadota; Alphaproteobacteria; Hyphomicrobiales; Phyllobacteriaceae
Description: partial 23S ribosomal RNA
Rfam family: Bacterial large subunit ribosomal RNA
Source: RNAcentral